AAGCGGUGGAGUAUGUGGUUAAUUCGAUGCAACGCGAAGAACCUUACCUGGUCUUGACAUCCCGGAGACCCUUAGGAAACUAGGGGGUGCUUCCAUCUGGAAGAAUCUGGAGACAGGUGCUGCAUGGCUGUCGUCAGCUCGUGUCGUGAGAUGUUGGGUUAAGUCCCGCAACGAGCGCAACCCUUGCCUUUAGUUGCCAGCAGUUCGGCUGGGCACUCUAAAGGGACUGCCGGUGUUAAACCGGAGGAAGGUGGGGAUGACGUCAAGUCCUCAUGGCCUUUAUGACCAGGGCUACACACGUACUACAAUGGCCGAUACAAAGGGCAGCGACACUGCGAGGUGAAGCCAAUCCCGUAAAAUCGGUCUCAGUCCGGAUCGGAGUCUGCAACUCGACUCCAUGAAGUUGGAAUCGCUAGUAAUCGUGGAUCAGCAUGCCACGGUGAAUACGUUCCCGGGCCUU
Molecule: ribosomal RNA, 460 nt
Filed under: uncultured Desulfobulbus sp.
Lineage: Bacteria; Pseudomonadati; Thermodesulfobacteriota; Desulfobulbia; Desulfobulbales; Desulfobulbaceae
Description: bacterial SSU rRNA
Rfam family: Bacterial small subunit ribosomal RNA
Source: RNAcentral